Molecule: ribosomal RNA, 345 nt
Filed under: Triticum aestivum (bread wheat)
Lineage: Eukaryota; Viridiplantae; Streptophyta; Magnoliopsida; Poales; Poaceae
Description: partial small subunit ribosomal RNA
Source: RNAcentral
AUGGUUUUGCGCCAUGGCCAUGGUUCUAUCAUCUUUGCAGCCUAUCGAGUAAUCUUCAAUUGCAAUGAAGCGCUAGAGGCUAAAGUACAUACAUUAAUGCAAGGAAUGGCACUGGCCAUCCCACAUUCAGGUAUGCCGGUCUUGGUCCAAUCUGAUUCAUCGAUGGUGCUUUUAAUUCUGUCAAAUGAUGACCGCUCAUGAUAGGCGUACGUGCAUCUUGUUGCCGAGAUUAAAGCAUUGAUGGAGACUAGGGAGUUUGUUCCUGAGAAAGUACAAGGUGUUCAUAAUAGGAUAGUAGAUAAAUUGGCAGAUUAUAGCUGUACAAAAUUAGUUACCGUUGUAUGA